UGAGUUAGAAAUUGUUUUGGGAAAU
RNAcentral lists this non-coding RNA (25 nucleotides) under Cricetulus griseus (Chinese hamster). The record is from RNAcentral. Lineage: Eukaryota; Metazoa; Chordata; Mammalia; Rodentia; Cricetidae.